Molecule: ribosomal RNA, 495 nt
Filed under: uncultured bacterium
Lineage: Bacteria
Description: partial 16S ribosomal RNA
Rfam family: Bacterial small subunit ribosomal RNA
Source: RNAcentral
GAUGAACGCUGGCGGGAGGCCUAACACAUGCAAGCCGAGCGGUAUUGUUUCUUCGGAAAUGAGAGAGCGGCGUACGGGUGCGUAACACGUGUGCAACCUGCCUUUAUCUGGGGGAUAGCCUUUCGAAAGGAAGAUUAAUACUCCAUAAUAUAUUGAACGGCAUCGUUUAAUAUUGAAAGCUCCGGCGGAUAGAGAUGGGCACGCGCAAGAUUAGCUAGUUGGUGAGGUAACGGCUCACCAAGGCGAUGAUCUUUAGGGGGCCUGAGAGGGUGAUCCCCCACACUGGUACUGAGACACGGACCAGACUCCUACGGGAGGCAGCAGUGAGGAAUAUUGGUCAAUGGGUGCAAGCCUGAACCAGCCAUCCCGCGUGAAGGACGACUGCCCUAUGGGUUGUAAACUUCUUUUGUAUAGGGAUAAACCUACCCUCGUGAGGGUAGCUGAAGGUACUAUACGAAUAAGCACCGGCUAACUCCGUGCCAGCAGCCGCGGUAA